CGCUGGUCGAAGGCAGUGAGUUAUCUCAAUUGAUCGUUCACAGGCAGUUACUCCUUGUUCUACUCUUUCUCCUCUUCUCACUACUGUGCUUGACUAAUCUAAA
Molecule: unclassified non-coding RNA, 103 nt
Organism: Cercocebus atys (sooty mangabey)
Lineage: Eukaryota; Metazoa; Chordata; Mammalia; Primates; Cercopithecidae
Rfam family: Y RNA
About the family: Y RNAs are components of the Ro ribonucleoprotein particle (Ro RNP), in association with Ro60 and La proteins. The Y RNAs and Ro60 and La proteins are well conserved, but the function of the Ro RNP is not known.
Source: Ensembl